Long non-coding RNA from Manis javanica (Malayan pangolin), 2263 nucleotides. RefSeq lists it as uncharacterized. The record is from RefSeq and is a predicted model, not a curated record. NCBI's taxonomy places the organism in Eukaryota, Metazoa, Chordata, Mammalia, Pholidota, Manidae.
CCACCUGCAGCAUCCCGCCUACCGCCUUGGCCGUCCCGCCCCCCGAGGCUGAGGCCGCCCUGCAGCCUCCUGUAGGCGCGCACGCGGCUUAAGCGGCCCUCUUCGGCUUCCGUCCGCGCGCUGUAGGCCCGGGCUCUGCUGCCCCCUGACGGCGGGCGGUGCGCGCUGGCCGGAAGUGCGCGCGGGUAGCGGGACGAGGUACGGGGUCGACAGACAGAGAUACAAAGAACACUUCAGUAGAAGUCGCGGAUUGUUGCACCUGCGUGGAAAGGAUGCGCCAAGAAGGCGGCGGCCUAGCGCAGCCAGCGCCCGGGACGCGGCCCCACUGGGCCUGCAGGUCCUCCACGGCGGCGGCGGCGGCACACGCAGUGGACUAAGGGGCUGCUAGGAGCCCUCGGUGUCGGUGUUGUCGCUGCCGGUGGUGUUCUCCCAGUCCACCUCUCCCUGCAUGGAGCUGUGCAGCACCUUCCUGAGCGCCCGCUUCCUGGGGAAAACCCGGAAGCACUGGCAGGUGCACACUGCAGCAGCUGGGACCAGAACAUUCCAGGCUGCUGGCCCCUCCGAAUCUGCCGUGGCUGGUUGGGCCCAGGGCUCGGGACCAACCCUGGGACAGAAGGUGCUGUGCCUGGCCGGCUUCCCUAAGCCUGGGCGCCCAGUCUCCCUGGGGCUGGCGCCUUCCCCUCCUCUGCUCUGACCCUAAAGCUUGCUCCAGCUCCUGAGAGGGACAGUCCCCCACGGGCAGGAGCUCCCGGACCUGACUAAGGUGGCAGCCUCCCCAUCCUACUUGCAGCCUGCUGGGUCCUACCUGACCCCACCCAGGAACUCAGCACCUCAAGUUUGUGUCUGGGAGCAGCAGAUGGCCUGACCCUCACUUCUGCAUUUGCCGCCCCAAUUCCUCUUUUGCCCCAACCCCCACCCCUUGGAAGCUGGGGUCAGGCCUCUCGCCGAGGAAGUCUGGCUUCUCACGCCACCUCUGUGGUGGCCCUGCCUCCCCCACCCACUCCAUGCCCAGAACAGGGCUCCUUCCCAGGUCUCCUGACACCCACCUUCAGAAUGGGCCCCCCCAACCUCUGGCUGCCUGCUGUGGGCCAUCUCCCAGCUGCCAGUCCCGUCUCCAGCACCCAGCACCCCCUCCCUGUUGAGGCGCAUCUGAGCAUCCCGACCUGCCUCCCAGCUCCCUGCCCAGGAGGAGGUGCUGCACUCCUGGGUCCCAGGGUGCCUCUGAUGGGGGUGUGUUCUCUGUGGGAGCUGGGCUGUGAACCCUGAAAACUUUGGCGAAGGUUCCCAGGGGCUCCGUUUGCUCACUGGGGAACUUGGGAGUCACUUAUCCCCAACCUCAGUGUCCGCAUUUGUAGAGUGGGGCUGUGUGUGUGUCAGGGGUCAGGGCUGGCACCAACUUAGGGUGAGGGAAGCUUCAGCCUGAGUCCUUCGGGGCAGGAUGCCUCCUCCUCACCUUUGUCCGAGAGCUGGGAAUCCUCCUCUAGGUCCUGCGGGGGUGAGAGCUUCCAGAGAGAGUGGGCAGCCACUUAGACCAGUGCCCGCUUGGGCUAGACCCCUCUCCCCACUGCACAGCACCUCAGGAACCUGUACUGCCCAGCCAGGCCUGGCAGGAGGGACCCGCCACAAGGGCCACAAGCUGGCUGCCACCCAGGCCUUUCUUGCCCAGAGCACACAGAGGCCUCGGCGAGUGCCAGCUGAGCAUCUGAGGACUAGGAAGCAGCCCGGUGCCUGGUACCUCCGAGGGAUGUGUGGGUCUGCUGUCUGGCAGAGGCUGCAGCCCAGGAGCUCCCCAGGGGCCACACUCACCUCCUGAGAAUUCCUGGGUGAGCUGUCCUCCAGGUCAGAGCUCUGUGGUCACAGAGGAGGGGUCAGUGAGCAGACGAGGGGGAGCAAAGCCACCCCAAGGCAUGGAGUGGGGUGGGGCACGGGGAGGGACCCCAGGCCAGCCCCUGCUCCCCAGGGAGGCCUUCUCCAGGCUGAGGCCGGUCCUGGCGGCCGCCCAAGGCCCCCCUUCCUUUCACUACGCCCACAGUGGCCCACCAGGCCGCCAAUGGGUCAGUGGCUGAGCUGGGCCCAUGCCGGGGUCCCCCCACGCCUCAAGGGUAGGCCCGCAGCUCCAGCCAAUGGACGGAGGCCCCCAGCCCCCAGGAGGCCCACCGGGACGCGUAUCUCCAGCCGCCGCCGGAGCCUGCCCUUCACGGCCAGCAGCUGGCCCUCACGCUGGAAGAGCUGCAGCUGCAGCUCGUCGGCCUUCUCGUCCAGC